CGGGGUGUGGCGCAGUUGGCUAGCGUACUUGCAUGGGGUGCAAGGGGUCGGAAGUUCAAGUCUUCUCACCCCGA
Molecule: transfer RNA, 74 nt
Filed under: Bacteroidota bacterium
Lineage: Bacteria; Pseudomonadati; Bacteroidota
Also listed under: 1 other name
Description: tRNA-Pro
Rfam family: tRNA
About the family: Transfer RNA (tRNA) molecules are approximately 80 nucleotides in length.
Source: RNAcentral